This 423-nucleotide ribosomal RNA is filed under the name Verrucomicrobiota bacterium. RNAcentral's name for it is "Verrucomicrobia bacterium partial 16S ribosomal RNA". It matches the Rfam family "Bacterial small subunit ribosomal RNA", at positions 355 to 776 of the family's 1533-position model. Lineage: Bacteria; Pseudomonadati; Verrucomicrobiota. The record is from RNAcentral.
UGAGGAAUAUUGGUCAAUGGACGAGAGUCUGAACCAGCCAAGUAGCGUGCAGGAUGACGGCCCUAUGGGUUGUAAACUGCUUUUGUUUGGGAAUAAUCGACAUUACGUGUAAUGUUUUGCAUGUACCAUUCGAAUAAGGACCGGCUAAUUCCGUGCCAGCAGCCGCGGUAAUACGGAAGGUCCAGGCGUUAUCCGGAUUUAUUGGGUUUAAAGGGAGUGUAGGCGGUUGGUUAAGCGUGUUGUGAAAUGUAGAUGCUCAACAUCUGACUUGCAGCGCGAACUGGCUGACUUGAGUACACACAACGUAGGCGGAAUUCAUGGUGUAGCGGUGAAAUGCUUAGAUAUCAUGAAGAACUCCGAUUGCGAAGGCAGCUUACGGGAGUGUACUGACGCUUAAGCUCGAAGGUGCGGGUAUCGAACAGG